RNAcentral lists this microRNA (22 nucleotides) under Drosophila melanogaster (fruit fly). Its description in RNAcentral is "dme-miR-4961-5p". The record is from miRBase by way of RNAcentral. Lineage: Eukaryota; Metazoa; Arthropoda; Insecta; Diptera; Drosophilidae.
UCUCUAUGUGUAUGUAUGUAUC